GACGAACGCUGGCGGCGUGCUUAACACAUGCAAGUCGAACGGUGAGGCCCUUCGGGGUACACGAGUGGCGAACGGGUGAGUAACACGUGGGUGAUCUGCCCUGCACUUCGGGAUAAGCCUGGGAAACUGGGUCUAAUACCGGAUAGGACCACUGCCUGCAUGGGGGGUGGUGGAAAGCUGUUGCGGUGUGGGAUGGGCCCGCGGCCUAUCAGCUUGUUGGUGGGGUGAUGGCCUACCAAGGCGACGACGGGUAGCCGGCCUGAGCGGGUGACCGGCCACACUGGGACUGAGAUACGGCCCAGACUCCUACGGGAGGCAGCAGUGGGGAAUAUUGCACAAUGGGCGCAAGCCUGAUGCAGCGACGCCGCGUGAGGGAUGACGGCCUUCGGGUUGUAAACCUCUUUCAGCACCGGCGAAGCGCAAGUGACGGUAGGUGCAGAAGAAGGACCGGCCAACUACGUGCCAGCCGCCGCAGUAA
RNAcentral lists this ribosomal RNA (478 nucleotides) under uncultured bacterium. Its description in RNAcentral is "partial 16S ribosomal RNA". It matches the Rfam family "Bacterial small subunit ribosomal RNA", at positions 28 to 523 of the family's 1533-position model. The record is from RNAcentral.